CCUACGGGGGGCAGCAGUGGGGAAUAUUGGACAAUGGGGGGAACCCUGAUCCAGCCAUGCCGCGUGUGUGAAGAAGGCCCUCGGGUUGUAAAGCACUUUCAGUGAGGAAGAACGCCUGGUGGUUAAUACCCAUCAGGAAAGACAUCACUCACAGAAGAAGCACCGGCUAACUCCGUGCCAGCAGCCGCGGUAAUACGGAGGGUGCGAGCGUUAAUCGGAAUUACUGGGCGUAAAGCGCGCGUAGGUGGCUUGAUAAGCCGGUUGUGAAAGCCCCGGGCUCAACCUGGGAACGGCAUCCGGAACUGUCAAGCUAGAGUGCAGGAGAGGAAGGUAGAAUUCCCGGUGUAGCGGUGAAAUGCGUAGAGAUCGGGAGGAAUACCAGUGGCGAAGGCGGCCUUCUGGACUGACACUGACACUGAGGUGCGAAAGCGUGGGUAGCAAACAGGAUUAGAUACCCUAGUAGC
RNAcentral lists this ribosomal RNA (464 nucleotides) under Vreelandella stevensii. RNAcentral describes it as "partial 16S ribosomal RNA". It matches the Rfam family "Bacterial small subunit ribosomal RNA", at positions 338 to 794 of the family's 1533-position model. Lineage: Bacteria; Pseudomonadati; Pseudomonadota; Gammaproteobacteria; Oceanospirillales; Halomonadaceae. The record is from RNAcentral.